AGUGAACGCUGGCGGCGUGCCUAAUACAUGCAAGUCGAACGGAGAUUAAGUAGCUUGCUAUUUAAUCUUAGUGGCGCACGGGUGAGUAAUAUAUAGCUAACUUGCCCAUUACUAUGGGACAACAGUUGGAAACGACUGCUAAUACCUUAUACUCCGUAUCUAUAUAAGUAGAUACGGGAAAGUUUUUCGGUAAUGGAUAGGGCUAUAUCGUAUCAGCUAGUUGGUAAGGUAAUGGCUUACCAAGGCUAUGACGCGUAACUGGUCGGAGAGGAUGAUCAGUAACACGGGAACUGAGACCCGGCCACAACCCCGAGGGGGGGGAGGGGAAGGGAAUAUUGUGGAAGGGGGGAAACCCGAACAAAGCAGCGCGCGGGGGGGGGGCCAUCUUUUUGGAGGCUAAUUUCCUUUUUUGGGAAAAGAAUUUGACGGGAACCAAGGAAAAAGCCACGGCUAACUCCGUG
Molecule: ribosomal RNA, 461 nt
Filed under: uncultured bacterium
Lineage: Bacteria
Description: partial 16S ribosomal RNA
Rfam family: Bacterial small subunit ribosomal RNA
Source: RNAcentral